RNAcentral lists this ribosomal RNA (517 nucleotides) under uncultured bacterium. RNAcentral's name for it is "bacterial SSU rRNA". It matches the Rfam family "Bacterial small subunit ribosomal RNA", at positions 76 to 578 of the family's 1533-position model. The record is from RNAcentral.
GAGCUUGCUCCUUUGACGUUAGCGGCGGACGGGUGAGUAACACGUGGGUAACCUACCUAUAAGACUGGGAUAACUUCGGGAAACCGGAGCUAAUACCGGAUAAUAUUUCGAACCGCAUGGUUCGAUAGUGAAAGAUGGUUUUGCUAUCACUUAUAGAUGGACCCGCGCCGUAUUAGCUAGUUGGUAAGGUAACGGCUUACCAAGGCGACGAUACGUAGCCGACCUGAGAGGGUGAUCGGCCACACUGGAACUGAGACACGGUCCAGACUCCUACGGGAGGCAGCAGUAGGGAAUCUUCCGCAAUGGGCGAAAGCCUGACGGAGCAACGCCGCGUGAGUGAUGAAGGUCUUCGGAUCGUAAAACUCUGUUAUUAGGGAAGAACAUACGUGUAAGUAACUGUGCACGUCUUGACGGUACCUAAUCAGAAAGCCACGGCUAACUACGUGCCAGCAGCCGCGGUAAUACGUAGGUGGCAAGCGUUAUCCGGAAUUAUUGGGCGUAAAGCGCGCGUAGGCGG